UAGGUGGGGAGAACAUCCCAUGAAGAAAGCAAAGCAAAGUAUGUGAUAAGGUUCAAUAAUGAGAGUGUGUCUUACUCUGGGCACAGACAUUUAAUGUGCUUGAAGGGAAAGGUUUGUGUUGGGGGAAAAGAUGAAAACAAGGAGGCUGCGAAAGCCAUUUGUGACUUCCUGGUGAAGAAUCUCACCAAGGACCAUUGACUAGAUUCUGGAGACAGAGUGAAGGUACUCUGAUGUUUGAAGAUUGAGCCAAAUGCCAGGUCCUUCCUACUGACAGACUUCAGGACUGUGGGAAUAACUCUGGCUUCACCUCAUGGCUUCCAAAAGCAACACUAAAACAAACAACUAUUAUUGAGAAUUCUUGUGCUCAAAAGUAUUUAUUGAAUACAUCAUUGAAGUGAAAAAGAAGACAUGGAGAAUUCAGAGAACCACAACUACUCAUGCCCAGACUUCAGAAAAUAAUGACACUCAAAUAUAGGAGAGACUCUGAAAUUGUCCCAAUAAAGAUUUUUAAAAAAUGGGAGAAGACAUAGGUUAAAAAGUUAGG
Long non-coding RNA from Lutra lutra (Eurasian river otter), 544 nucleotides. RefSeq lists it as uncharacterized. The transcript is spliced from 3 exons. The record is from RefSeq and is a predicted model, not a curated record. NCBI's taxonomy places the organism in Eukaryota, Metazoa, Chordata, Mammalia, Carnivora, Mustelidae.